This 773-nucleotide ribosomal RNA is filed under the name uncultured Neocallimastigales. RNAcentral's name for it is "partial large subunit ribosomal RNA". It matches the Rfam family "Eukaryotic large subunit ribosomal RNA", at positions 24 to 649 of the family's 3401-position model. Lineage: Eukaryota; Fungi; Neocallimastigomycota; Neocallimastigomycetes; Neocallimastigales. The record is from RNAcentral.
GUAGUCUCGCACAGAUGCAUAUCAAUAAGCGGAGGAAAAGAAACUAACAAGGAUUCCCCUAGUAACGGCGAGUGAAGCGGGAAGAGCUCAAAUUUGAAAUCUUAAAGGGUUUCCCUUUACGAAUUGUAGUUUAAAGAAGUGUUUUCUGUUGAGGUUUUGGUAAAAGUUCUUUGGAACAGGACAUCAUAGAGGGUGAGAAUCCCGUAUUUGACCUUUACUUUCAACUUUGUGAUACACUUUCAAAGAGUCGGAUUGUUUGGGAGUGCAGUCCAAAAUGGGUGGUAAAUUUCAUCUAAAGCUAAAUAUUGGCGAGAGACCGAUAGCGAACAAGUACCGUGAGGGAAAGAUGAAAAGAACUUUGAAAAGAGAGUUAAACAGUACGUGAAAUUGUCAAAAGGGAAGCGUUUGACACCAGUGUUGUUUUUCUGAAAAUCAAUUAAAGAACUGUUUAUGCUAAGCUGUUUAGACUUUAUCAGCUAACUGUUUAGUUUUGAGCUUUUCUUUAAUGCACUUUUCAGUUAACAAGUCAACAUCAAUUUCUUUUGCUGUAAAAAAGCUUGAGGAAGGUGGCUUGAGAUUCGUCUUAAGUGUUUAUAGCCUCUUGCCUAUGCAGUCGGAGAGAUUGAGGUCUGCAGCGUAGAUCCUUCGGGGCUAAAUGCAUUUGUGCUAAGUUAUAGCAUUUUAUAGACAACUUGUUGACUAUGAUUUGUCUUGUAGCUUACUCGCUUAUGUUAUUUUACCUACGCUUAGGAUGUGAGUAGCGACAUACGCAC